RNAcentral lists this small nuclear RNA (192 nucleotides) under Calidris pygmaea (Spoon-billed sandpiper). Its description in RNAcentral is "U2 spliceosomal RNA (ENSCPGG00000016306.1)". It matches the Rfam family "U2 spliceosomal RNA". From Rfam's summary of the family: U2 is a small nuclear RNA (snRNA) component of the spliceosome (involved in pre-mRNA splicing). The record is from RNAcentral. Lineage: Eukaryota; Metazoa; Chordata; Aves; Charadriiformes; Scolopacidae.
AUUGUUUCUCAGCCUUUUGGCUAAGAUCAAGUAUAGUAUCUGUUCUUAUCAGUUUAGUAUCUGAUACGUCCUUGAUGACUUUAUGACUUUAUAUUAAACAGAUUUUUGGGUUCGGAAGUUGGACUCAGAACUUGCUCCCUCUGUUCCAUGCAUCAUCCCCUAUUGCAGUGCCUCCAGAAACUGCGAACUUUC